This 167-nucleotide unclassified non-coding RNA is filed under the name soil metagenome. RNAcentral's name for it is "partial internal transcribed spacer 1". The record is from RNAcentral.
AUGAAAUUGAAACGCCUUUCGGUCGUGCUGGCUUUUGCAAGUGCACACCGUCUGGUUUCAUCCAACACCCUUGUGCACCUUUGGCCACGCGUUGUAAUGACGCGGGGAUUCUUUACACAAACUCGUAUGUAACAGAAUGUAGAUCUAGUGCGUAAGCACGAAAUGUA